CAGUCGCCGCGGUAAUACGUAGGGUGCAAGCGUUAAUCGGAAUUACUGGGCGUAAAGCGUGCGCAGGCGGUUUUGUAAGACAGAGGUGAAAUCCCCGGGCUCAACCUGGGAACUGCCUUUGUGACUGCAAGGCUAGAGUACGGCAGAGGGGGAUGGAAUUCCGCGUGUAGCAGUGAAAUGCGUAGAUAUGCGGAGGAACACCGAUGGCGAAGGCAAUCCCCUGGGCCUGUACUGACGCUCAUGCACGAAAGCGUGGGGAGCAAACAGGAUUAGAUACCCGCGUAGUCCCUGUCUCUUAACA
This 301-nucleotide ribosomal RNA is filed under the name uncultured bacterium. RNAcentral's name for it is "partial 16S ribosomal RNA". It matches the Rfam family "Bacterial small subunit ribosomal RNA", at positions 509 to 808 of the family's 1533-position model. The record is from RNAcentral.